CCUACGGGAGGCAGCAGUGAGGAAUAUUGGUCAAUGGGCGCGAGCCUGAACCAGCCAAGUCGCGUGCAGGAUGACGGCCCUAUGGAUUGUAAACUGCUUUUAUACGGGAGUAAAGCACGCCACGCGUAGCGUUCUGAAAGUACCCGAAGAAAAAGCAUCGGCUAACUCCGUGCCAGCAGCCGCGGUAAUACGGAGGAUCCGAGCGUUAUCCGGAUUUAUUGGGUUUAAAGGGUGCGUGGGCGGAAGAUCAAGACAGCGGUAAAAUUGAGAGGCUCAACCUCUUCUAGCCGUUGAAACUGGUUUUCUUGAGUGAGUGAGAAGUAGGCGGAAUGCGUGGUGUAGCGGUGAAAUGCAUAGAGAUCACGCAGAACUCCGAUUGCGAAGGCAGCAUACUGGCGCUGAACUGACGCUCAUGCACGAAAGUGUGGGUAUCGAACAGGAUUAGAUACCCGUGUAGUC
This 459-nucleotide ribosomal RNA is filed under the name uncultured bacterium. RNAcentral's name for it is "partial 16S ribosomal RNA". It matches the Rfam family "Bacterial small subunit ribosomal RNA", at positions 338 to 795 of the family's 1533-position model. The record is from RNAcentral.